This 456-nucleotide long non-coding RNA is filed under the name Olea europaea (common olive). RNAcentral's name for it is "long non-coding RNA (OEUR_LNC012853)". Lineage: Eukaryota; Viridiplantae; Streptophyta; Magnoliopsida; Lamiales; Oleaceae. The record is from RNAcentral.
UUGGAUUCAAUCAUUAAAACACGAUUCUGCAUAUUCCCCCCUUUUUCUUAAAUUGUUCUAGUUUCGAACACGGGCGGAAAAGUAAAAAGAUAGAAACGUUUUCUUGGGAACAAGAAAACUGGGAAAAAAAAAAAUCGUUGUUUAACAUUUUCUUUUUCUUUUUCUUUUCAUAUAUUGAAAGGUAAAAGCAUGUGCAAUACACUUUCGUGGUCGACAUUCUGAAGUCAACCCACACAAAUUCGUGUCUUCGUGAUCUUAAACAAUCGCCUCUUCUAUAUACUUCUCUGAAAAUUAGGUUUAAUUACAGAAAAAUCUGAUAUGGGAUUUGCUUUAACCCCAAUAAUCCACGGAAUCUUUGUUAUUGAAAACCCAAUUUCAUUUACAAGAUCAUAACUUUUCAGUAUUUUCCCAUAAAUUCAGUCAUAAAUUUUCGAUCUUGAUUACAUAUUCUAAUCU